AAGAGACAGCAGCCGCCACGGUAAUACGUAGGGUGCAAGCGUUAAUCGGAAUUACUGGGCGUAAAGCGUGCGCAGGCGGUUCUAUAAGACAGAUGUGAAAUCCCCGGGCUCAACCUGGGAACUGCAUUUGUGACUGUAGAGCUGGAGUGCGGCAGAGGGGGAUGGAAUUCCGCGUGUAGCAGUGAAAUGCGUAGAUAUGCGGAGGAACACCGAUGGCGAAGGCAAUCCCCUGGGCCUGCACUGACGUUCAUGCACGAAAGCGUGGGGAGCAAACAGGAUUAGAUACCCCUGUAGUCCCUGUCUCUUAUAC
RNAcentral lists this ribosomal RNA (310 nucleotides) under uncultured bacterium. RNAcentral's name for it is "partial 16S ribosomal RNA". It matches the Rfam family "Bacterial small subunit ribosomal RNA", at positions 503 to 807 of the family's 1533-position model. The record is from RNAcentral.